RNAcentral lists this ribosomal RNA (253 nucleotides) under uncultured bacterium. Its description in RNAcentral is "partial 16S ribosomal RNA". It matches the Rfam family "Bacterial small subunit ribosomal RNA", at positions 524 to 776 of the family's 1533-position model. The record is from RNAcentral.
UACAGAGGUCCCAAGCGUUGUUCGGAUUCAUUGGGCGUAAAGGGUGCGUAGGUGGCCUGGUAAGUCGGGUGUGAAAUCCCGGGGCUCAACCCCGGAACUGCACUCGAUACUGCCGUGCUCGAGUACUGGAGAGGAGACUGGAAUUUACGGUGUAGCAGUGAAAUGCGUAGAUAUCGUAAGGAAGACCGGUGGCGAAGGCUAGUCUCUGGACAGUUACUGACACUGAGGCACGAAAGCCAGGGGAGCAAACGGG